AUACGUAGGGGGCAAGCGUUAUCCGGAUUUAUUGGGUUUAAAGGGAGCGCAGGCGGAGAUGCAAGCGUGACGUCAAAUUUCGGGGCUCAACCCCGUCUCGCGUCGCGAACUGCGUCCCUUGGUUGCGGGAAGGGGAGGCGGAACUCGUGGUGUAGCGGGGAAAUGCAUAGAUAUCACGAAGAACUCCGAUCGCGAAGGCAGCCUUCCGGCCCGUCAACGACGCUCAUGCUCGAAGGUGCGGGUAUCAAACAGGAUUAGAUACCCUGGUAGUCCGCACAGUAAACGAUGGACACCCGCGGUUUGGCCUGUAUGGCUGAGCCGCCAAGCGAAAGCGUUAAGUGUCCCACCUGGGGAGUACGCCGGCAACGGUGAAACUCAAAGGAAUUGGCGGGG
Molecule: ribosomal RNA, 393 nt
Filed under: uncultured bacterium
Lineage: Bacteria
Description: partial 16S ribosomal RNA
Rfam family: Bacterial small subunit ribosomal RNA
Source: RNAcentral